CCUACGGGUGGCAGCAGUGGGGAAUAUUGGGCAAUGGACGCAAGUCUGACCCAGCAACGCCGCGUGAAGGAAGAAGGCUUUCGGGUUGUAAACUUCUUUUAAGGGGGAAGAGCAGAAGACGGUACCCCUUGAAUAAGCCACGGCUAACUACGUGCCAGCAGCCGCGGUAAUACGUAGGUGGCAAGCGUUGUCCGGAUUUACUGGGUGUAAAGGGCGUGCAGCCGGAGAGACAAGUCAGAUGUGAAAUCCACGGGCUCAACCCCGUCGUGCCGUUGAAACUGAUGUUCUUGAGUGGGCGAGAAGUAUGCGGAAUGCGUGGUGUAGCGGUGAAAUGCAUAGAUAUCACGCAGAACUCCGAUUGCGAAGGCAGCAUACCGGCGCCCAACUGACGCUGAAGCACGAAAGCGUGGGUAUCGAACAGGAUUAGAUACCCUUGUAGUC
This 441-nucleotide ribosomal RNA is filed under the name uncultured bacterium. RNAcentral describes it as "partial 16S ribosomal RNA". It matches the Rfam family "Bacterial small subunit ribosomal RNA", at positions 338 to 795 of the family's 1533-position model. The record is from RNAcentral.